CCGUAACUAUAACGGUCCUAAGGUAGCGAAAUUCCUUGUCAGGUAAGUUCUGACCCGCACGAAAGGCGUAACGAUUUGGGCGCUGUCUCAGCUGUAGACUCGGUGAAGUCUUAGUACCUGUGAAGAUGCAGGUUACCCGCGACUAGACGGAAAGACCCCAUGGAGCUUUACUGCAGCUUGAUAUUGGACUUUGAUGCAAGAUGUACAGGAUAGGUAGGAGACUGAGAGACAUGCACGCCAGUGUGUGAGGAGUCGAUGUUGGGAUACUACUCUUCUUGUAUUGGAGUUCUAACCGGAUGCCAUGGAACUGGCAACGGGACAGUGUCAGGCGGGCAGUUUGACUGGGGCGGUCGCCUCCCAAAGAGUAACGGAGGCGCCCAAAGAUACCCUCAGCUUGGAUGGAAAUCAAGCGCAGAGUGCAAAGGCAUAAGGGUGUUUGACUGCGAGACCAACAAGUCGAGCAGGGACGAAAGUCGGGCUUAGUGAUCCGGCGGUGCUGAAUGGAAAGGCCGUCGCUCAACGGAUAAAAGCUACCCUGGGGAUAACAGGCUGAUCUCCCCCAAGAGUUCACAUCGACGGGGAGGUUUGGCACCUCGAUGUCGGCUCAUCGCAUCCUGGGGCUGAAGUAGGUCCCAAGGGUUGGGCUGUUCGCCCAUUAAAGCGGUACGCGAGCUGGGUUCAGAACGUCGUGAGACAGUUCGGUCCCUAUCUGUCGUGGGCGCAGGAAGUUUGAGAAGAUCUGUCCUCAGUACGAGAGGACCGGGAUGGACAUAUCAAUGGUGCACCAGUUGUCACGCCAGUGGCACAGCUGGGUAGCUAAAUAUGGAAGGGAUAAACGCUGAAGGCAUCUAAGUGUGAAACCCGCUUCAAGAUGAGACUUCCCAUUACGAAAGUAGGUAAGACCCCUUAAAGACGAUAAGGUUGAUAGGUCAGGAGUGUAAGCAUGGCGACAUGUUAAGCGGACUGAUACUAAUAGGUCGAGGACUUAACCUA
This 993-nucleotide ribosomal RNA is filed under the name mouse gut metagenome. Its description in RNAcentral is "bacterial LSU rRNA". It matches the Rfam family "Bacterial large subunit ribosomal RNA", at positions 1934 to 2925 of the family's 2925-position model. The record is from RNAcentral.